AUUGAACGCUGGCGGUAGGCCUAACACAUGCAAGUCGAGCGGUUGCAUCGAUCUUGCUCCUGGAUUCAGCGGCGGACGGGUGAGUAAUGCCUAGGAAUCUGCCUCGUAGUUUGGGAUUACGUCCUGAUACGGGCUCUACUACCGCAUACGUCCUGUGUUAGCAAGUGGGGGAUCUUCGUACCUUACGCUAUUAGAUGAUCAUAGGUCGUAUUAGCUAUUUGGUGUGUUAAUGGCCUACCAGGGCGACGAUCCGUACCUGGUCUGAGAGGAUGAUCAGUCACACAGGAAGUGAGACACGGUCCAGACUCCUAAGGGAGGAAGCAGUGGGGAAUAUUGGACGAAGGGCGAAAGCCGGAUCCAGCCAAGCCGCGUGUGUGAAGAAGGUCUUAGGAUUGUAAAGCACUUUAAGUUGGGAGGAAGGGAAGUAAGUUAAUAACUGGAUGUUUUGACGGUACCAAAAGAAUAAGCACCGGCUAACUUCGUG
This 484-nucleotide ribosomal RNA is filed under the name uncultured bacterium. RNAcentral describes it as "partial 16S ribosomal RNA". It matches the Rfam family "Bacterial small subunit ribosomal RNA", at positions 30 to 507 of the family's 1533-position model. The record is from RNAcentral.